GAUGGCUAAUGAUUAACAGACCCUGCCAGAGUUCUCCUCAGACGUCCCUGAGUCUCUGAGAUGCAAGUUUUCCAGCUGAUUUUAAAACAUGGAUAGCUAGCUGAUGGUAUUUAGCUACUUAAUGGACUGGAAGGAAACAUCUUGUUUUGGCAAGUGACUGUAGGGAGCCAGAUGGAAGAAAGCAGUUCCAAUGGGGACAGCCUCACUGUGAUGACCUCAGGAGCCCAUACUCAGAUGUGGUUGCUUCUUAAACACCUAUCUCCCUUUCGGAUGAAGUGGCGUUCCUGGAAGGAUCUGAGCCUGAGGUAAAACUGGAAGAGCUCAAACCAACCCAGCAGCACAGUUCCCAUGGCUGCAGAGAAAAGCUCAGUGCUGUGACUGCCUGUUAAUCACCUGGAUUCAGGAAAAAAGGACAAUGUCUUUCAACAAAGAACAAACCUGAAAAACCCUGGAUGCAUAAGAGGAGGCCAUAUUUGAGUAAAAUGGCUCAGCACUUGCCCCAAGAAUAGAACAUAUCCUUUAUUUACUUUUGCAAAAAAAUACUUGUUACUUAAAUUUAUUAAAAUACUGUCUAUCUAGAAGAGCCUUUAAAAGCAAAUGGCAUGUGGUGGUUUGCACUAAUUAUCUCAAGGGAAUGUCUUCCUGAAUAAACAGUUACUUUACUUGCUGCCUGGAAAUACAGUUUUUGCUACCAACAACCAAUUGCUUUUUGCUUCCCUUUUGAAAUGGUCAAUGGUAAAGAAACUGUCAGUGUUGAACAGUCUUGAAAUGGUAUCUGCCAGUUACCACGGUGUUGGAAAAAGGGAAUAUGUGUCAUAUAUCAAGAGAAUGUAUUUUAUAUCAAAGGAAAUGCUGGCAAAACCACAAAACCACCACUACAAUUUCUGCAUGAGGCUGAUGAAUAGUUUGACAGAAACACUGAGGGUCACGGCAGUGUGUUCAGUGAGAUGGAGGGGAUGGGUCCAGCUCAGCUGGAGCAGAGUCAGAAGAGACACUCACAAUUACCUCUCCCUUCAGUUGCCUUGGCUCUUCCCAGCUCUCCUCCCCACCAAACCCAGGCAGAACUGGAGAGGCUGAGAUGCCCUCAGAGCUCCUGGGAAGCACAAAGCUGGUCAGGCUGAGGAAGGCAGCGAGGGCUGGAAGAGAGGUAAGGCUGCACAGCAAGUUCCUGGGCUGAGUACAACACAAAAACUCAUUUGAAACUUGAGGAGAAGCAUAGAAAUUCCACAUUUCCAAGUAGGCAGCAAAAACUCCUCCAGGGAAGCACUGCCAGAGCAGCCUCAUGUGGGAGUGUGGGCCAGGGUGAUGCCCAGAGUGGGUGGGUUGGGCUGCAUUAUCAAAGCCUUGAACACAAGAGACAGGCCAAACUGCCAGGCAGAUGUUUGUAUUGCUGGUCUGUUUUUUAAAUCUUCAGAUUUGUUUAGCCCCAGAGAUAAGAUACUGCUGCAGUUUGCUUUGUGAGCAAACUGACUGUGAGUGGUGCUGGGCUCAGAAACCCACCCACGUGUGUAAGGCUGCCAGGUGGUUUUCCACACUGAGCGUGGAGAAAGAGGAAAGGCUGCAGAAACUGAUGGUGCAGCAUGGACAGAGGUAUCAGAGCCAAGUGUUUUCCAUUAGCCAACUCAGAUGGCCACAACAGCCUCCCCCUCCUCUCGGGACCCCCUCACCCUUUGCCAGAGCUGAGGGAGUUCUCACAGGAGACAAGAAUCCACUCCCUUGCUGGCACCAGCUCUCCCACUGCAAAUUGGGAAUUACUUGCAAUAGUAACUCUACUGCAGUCACACAGUGUCAUCAAAGACACUCUGAAGAAAACCUGACCAUCCAGACCAUUUUCCUCCUAAGGAUGCAGCUUCAACCAUUCCUGCCCCCACCUGUAUUGCCCUCAGCUGGCACCUCUCUCCUGACCAGUUCUGCAUGGCCUGCCUGCUCCAGUAUCCUCCUCCCUGACUCAGGACAGACUUGUAUCACCCUGUUUUUUUAAGAUCCUCCACUCCACAAGGGGAUUUCAAGGGGAUUUCUGGAAGAUGUGGAUACUUCAUUCAUGACAAGAGGUGUUCUUCCAUGGGUUUGCACUGAACAUGGCUCGGAGCACAUAACCACUAAAAAGGACCUUUUUUAUCUUUUAACUUUCAAAUUACAUGGAAAUACAGUAUGAAGUAUAUAAACAAUAAUAAAUAAUAUGCAAAACA
Long non-coding RNA from Chiroxiphia lanceolata (lance-tailed manakin), 2189 nucleotides. RefSeq lists it as uncharacterized. NCBI's taxonomy places the organism in Eukaryota, Metazoa, Chordata, Aves, Passeriformes, Pipridae. The transcript is spliced from 2 exons. The record is from RefSeq and is a predicted model, not a curated record.